CGGGGAACCGGAGCCCCCGCUGCGACUCCGCCGGGACAGCAGCUUCCGGCGCCCCGGCAGCCUCCUGCCCUCGGGGCACUCGCUCCCCCGAGGUGUACUCCCCGAGGGCUGGGGGAGCGCAUUCCCUCCCGUCCUACUGAUUAACUUUCAGCAAAUGGGGAUGCCCAAAGGAGCAGAUAGCGAGUGACCUGUGGCCCUGCUGUUUGAUUCUGGAUGGAGUUACGUUUAGGAGCCUGGCAGCAAACUGGGGCAACUGUUCAAUUAGUGAUGAUGCCAUACUCUGGGCAUGGAGAGAGUGGAGAAGGAAAUAAAUUCUCUUUUCUUCUUG
This is a long non-coding RNA of Gorilla gorilla gorilla (western lowland gorilla), 328 nucleotides long. RefSeq lists it as uncharacterized. The transcript has 3 exons. The record is from RefSeq and is a predicted model, not a curated record. Lineage: Eukaryota; Metazoa; Chordata; Mammalia; Primates; Hominidae.